GGGACAUUAGCUCAGCUGGUAGAGCACUUGACUUUUAAUCAAGGUGUCGGGGGUUCGAUUCCCCCAUGUCUCA
This is a transfer RNA of Catonella morbi ATCC 51271, 73 nucleotides long. It matches the Rfam family "tRNA". From Rfam's summary of the family: Transfer RNA (tRNA) molecules are approximately 80 nucleotides in length. Their secondary structure includes four short double-helical elements and three loops (D, anti-codon, and T loops). Further hydrogen bonds mediate the characteristic L-shaped molecular structure. tRNAs have two regions of fundamental functional importance: the anti-codon, which is responsible for specific mRNA codon recognition, and the 3' end, to which the tRNAs corresponding amino acid is attached (by aminoacyl-tRNA synthetases). tRNAs cope with the degeneracy of the genetic code in two manners: having more than one tRNA (with a specific anti-codon) for a particular amino acid; and 'wobble' base-pairing, i.e. permitting non-standard base-pairing at the 3rd anti-codon position. The record is from Rfam. Lineage: Bacteria; Bacillati; Bacillota; Clostridia; Lachnospirales; Lachnospiraceae.